RNAcentral lists this long non-coding RNA (1108 nucleotides) under Homo sapiens (human). RNAcentral's name for it is "HSALNT0383343". Lineage: Eukaryota; Metazoa; Chordata; Mammalia; Primates; Hominidae. The record is from RNAcentral.
CCUCUACCAUUGAUGUAAGAUUCCUUAACAUCACCACUUCCCUUCUAAUUAACAUCUGAAAUCUCAAUUCUUAAGCCUGUUUUUUGUGACUUUCACGUUAAAUCAGCCCAUCUUUCUUGACACAACUUUUUCCUCUCCUCUUUCUUCCUUCUUCCAAUCCAUCAAAAAAAAACAAAUUAAGAGCCUACACUGUACAAGUAACAAUUGUUGAGGGUUCAUCAUAAGGAAGGUAAAAUUCUACUUCUUUAAGAGCUGGAAUGACUGGAUGUGCAAACACGACAUGUGGAGAAAGAAGCGAGUGCUCCAGUAAACGAUGGUCUUUCCUUCAAAGACAGCCAGCAUUUCCACGGUCCUGUUCCCAUGGUAAGCUUUCCUGGCUAUGUGACCUGAGGCCUCAGUUUCUCCAUCGACAAGAUGAAAAUAAUGACAUCACCUAUCUGAGAGAGCUCAUCUGCCUAAUCGCUAGCCCAGUGAACACCGUGGUAGGAAGACAGAGCGAUCCAACUGCAGGCUGCGGGAGAACUGACAAGACCUGGGACUGUCAAUCUCAGGGGAGGCCCUGCUGCGUUAUCCCAUGAGAAGGGCUGCUGACUAUGCCACUGUGCCAAACCUGGACUUUAUCUCUUACAUCGAUUUGAUUUGGUUUCUCUCAGUCCUCAAGUCAGAUUUGUAUCUGAAUUGAUCACUGAGCCUUUGACAAGUGUCAUCUGCUGUAUAUAUUGCAAUUCAUGACAUUUAAGGGCCUGUUGACCUAGCAAUUCGGCUCCCAUGCAGGAAACAAGAUACCAACUUCAUUUAAAAAUAUGGUACAAUUGACAAAUGCUCAUAUUAACUCAAAUACAUAACAGGAGGCAAGAAAGUAUUCUAAAAUUUAUUUAAUGAUGGUAUCUAUGUAGUUUUACCCCAUCUUUAUUCUUUCGCUAAACAAGAAUAUGUUUCUGUAAUGUCAAAGGUAUACUGGGAACUACUACUAGUCUUCCAUUGCUGCUGUGGAAGUGUUUCAAUUUUUGAAAGUGUAAGAGAUGAGGGAAGAAAUCUGGAUAUAUCAGAUUCUUUGGAAAAUAACAGAUAAGUAAACAUGUAAUAUAUUAUGGCUACUAUUUUAAUG